Molecule: non-coding RNA, 203 nt
Filed under: Sclerotinia borealis F-4128
Lineage: Eukaryota; Fungi; Ascomycota; Leotiomycetes; Helotiales; Sclerotiniaceae
Description: Eukaryotic large subunit ribosomal RNA
Rfam family: Eukaryotic large subunit ribosomal RNA
Source: Rfam by way of RNAcentral
UUUUCUUUAAUGUUCUAAAUCUGGGGAAUAAAUAAGAGGGUGGUCUGGUCUGGAGACGUUUGUAGCAUAUGCGCCGGUGAAAUGCCACUACCCUUAUCGUUUUUUUACUUAUUCAAUAAAGCGGAACUGGGUGUCAAAGCCCAAUUUCUAGCAUUAAGGUCCUUUGCGGGCUGAUCCGGGUUGAAGACAUUGUCAGGUGGGGA